This 253-nucleotide ribosomal RNA is filed under the name uncultured bacterium. RNAcentral describes it as "partial 16S ribosomal RNA". It matches the Rfam family "Bacterial small subunit ribosomal RNA", at positions 524 to 776 of the family's 1533-position model. The record is from RNAcentral.
UACAGAGGUGGCAAGCGUUGUUCGGAAUUACUGGGCGUAAAGGGCGCGUAGGCGGCCUUCUAAGUCAGACGUGAAAUCCCCCGGCUUAACCUGGGAACUGCGUCUGAUACUGGAUGGCUUGAAUCCGGGAGAGGGAUGCAGAAUUCCAGGUGUAGCGGUGAAAUGCGUAGAUAUCUGGAGGAACACCGGUGGCGAAGGCGGCAUCCUGGACCGACACUGACGCUGAGGAGCGAAAGCCAGGGGAGCAAACGGG